Molecule: ribosomal RNA, 440 nt
Filed under: uncultured bacterium
Lineage: Bacteria
Description: partial 16S ribosomal RNA
Rfam family: Bacterial small subunit ribosomal RNA
Source: RNAcentral
GACGAACGCUGGCGGCGUGCCUAAUGCAUGCAAGUCGCACGCGGCACCUUCGGGUGCUGAGUGGCGAACGGCUGAGGAACACGUGGGGACCUGUCCGGGAGUGGGGGACAACACCGCGAAAGCGGUGCUAAUCCCGCAUACGCUCUGAGGAGGAAAGCCGAAAGGCGCUCCCGGGUGGCCCUGCGGCCCAUCAGGUUGUUGGUGGGGUAACGGCCUACCAAGCCAAUGACGGGUCGCUGGUCUGUGAGGACGACCAGCCAGACUGGGACUGGGACACGGCCCAGACUCCUACGGGAGGCAGCAGCAAGGAAUUUUCGGCAAUGGGCGCAAGCCUGACCGAGCAACGCCGCGUGCAGGAAGACGGCCUUCGGGUUGUAAACUGCUUUUGCUAGGGAUGAUAACAGACGGUACCUGGCGAAUCAGCCCCGGCUAACUCUGUG